GGAGUGAGAUCCUUCCCGCAAUCGGACGAAAGUCUGACGGAGCAACGCCGCGUGAGUGAUGAAGGCUUUCGGGUCGUAAAACUCUGUUGUUAGGGAAGAACAAGUGCUAGUUGAAUAAGCUGGCACCUUGACGGUACCUAACCAGAAAGCCACGGCUAACUACGUGCCAGCAGCCGCGGUAAUUA
This 185-nucleotide ribosomal RNA is filed under the name uncultured bacterium. Its description in RNAcentral is "partial 16S ribosomal RNA". It matches the Rfam family "Bacterial small subunit ribosomal RNA", at positions 351 to 525 of the family's 1533-position model. The record is from RNAcentral.